This 279-nucleotide ribosomal RNA is filed under the name uncultured bacterium. RNAcentral's name for it is "partial 16S ribosomal RNA". It matches the Rfam family "Bacterial small subunit ribosomal RNA", at positions 506 to 784 of the family's 1533-position model. The record is from RNAcentral.
UGCCAGCCGCCGCGGUAAUACGGAGGGGGCAAGCGUUAUUCGGAUUUACUGGGCGUAAAGGGCGCGUAGGCGGCCUGGUCAGUGAGAAGUGAAAGCCCUCGGCUUAACCGAGGAACUGCUUCUCAUACUGCUAGGCUUGAGUAUGGGAGAGGAAAGUGGAAUUCCCGGUGUAGCGGUGAAAUGCGUAGAGAUCGGGAGGAACACCAGUGGCGAAGGCGGCUUUCUGGACCAUUACUGACGCUGAGGCGCGAAAGCGUGGGGAGCAAACAGGAUUAGAUA